AUGACUUGGAACUCAAACAUUGGAUCCUCACUCCGACACCCACGACAGGUCUCCAAAAUGCUCAUGGAAACCUCGCCUAAUGAAAACACCACGCUCAGAGCUCAACAAACCCAUCUUUCAGCUCCAUUGCCCACAAAUUCCUGGAGCACCCUGCCGGGCCUGAGCAACACACGGCUAACACCAGGCAGGGAAGGGCGGUGCGGCCAGUGUGCAGCCUGCAAUGGAACCUCCGCCGUGGAGACGCACCCAUGCCCCGGGCUCCUGGUAGAACCCGCAGGCAGCCUCCUGUUCUCGGGGUGGCCAGGCCCCCUGCCAGCUCCCAGGGCAGGGCAGAGGGAACUAUGGUCAGCCCUAAUCACGGGCAAGGCAACGGAGCUCAGAGGAACCCAGAGAGUGGCGGAGCGGGGCGGUGUCCCAGCCAGGCUGUGUCCACCCUCGGGCCCUGCUCUUGGGGCUGCUGGGUCACAGCCAGUGCAGAAAGACCUGCAGCCCUGGGGACAGCCGCCGGGCCUGCAGGAGGUCCCACGGUGGGCAGGGGCUGCGGCGGGUCCUCAGCUUCACCACCAUUCAGCAAGCAACCUGAGGUCAAGACCUCGGCCAGCGGGGUCAGGGGCACGCUGUAGCCUGACCUGGGAGAGGGGGAGGCCCCACCCACCCCACGGCCGGGUGGCUGCGCCACGCGAUCAGAGGCGCUCCAUCUCAGGGGACCAGGACAGCGGCCAGGACCUGGUCACUUGCAGAAGCCUCCCCAGAGAGAGGGUGUGCGGCCCCUGUACCCACCCCACCCCCCUCAGAGAAGUGAACCCUCUGCCCUCUCCUGGUAAGACAGACGGGGCUGGCCGGCCCGAAGGGUUAACAUCUCAUUUCCUCUCCUUUCAGACCCUAAUCCCUACCCGAGCUGGGAGCAUUCCAAGCCCACCUGGAGCAGGUCAGGACUGGAGCCCGGGCUGCCCUCUACUCCCCUGGCAGCAGAUCAGAUGGGCAGCCAUGAGUCCCCGGCCCUCGCUGCUGGCCGGGCCUCGGGCAGCCGGCCAAGGUCCGGGAGGACGGGGCCGGCCGCGCGCUGCCACCCUUCUGAGACAGGACGCGGCAGCACAAGCCUGGCUCACGGCCGCGAGCCCCGCCCAGCGGAGCAGGCUCAGGCAUACUCGGCCUGGGAGGCACGGGUGA
This 1170-nucleotide long non-coding RNA is filed under the name Oryctolagus cuniculus (rabbit). Its description in RNAcentral is "lncRNA (ENSOCUG00000032742.1)". The record is from RNAcentral. Lineage: Eukaryota; Metazoa; Chordata; Mammalia; Lagomorpha; Leporidae.